AGGACGAACGCUGGCGGCGUGCUUAACACAUGCAAGUGGAGCGACGAACCAGGGCUUGCCCUGGGGGCAGAGCCGCGAACGGGUGAGUAACACGUGGGUUACCUGCCUCGAUGACCGGGACAACCCGAGGAAACUCGGGCUAAUACCGGAUGUGCCCGCAAGGGGAAAGGAAGCUUCGGCCUCCGCAUCGAGAUGGGCCCGCGGCCCAUUAGCUUGUUGGUGAGGUAACGGCUCACCAAGGCUUCGAUGGGUAGCUGGUCUGAGAGGACGAUCAGCCACACUGGGACUGAGACACGGCCCAGACUCCUACGGGAGGCAGCAGUGGGGAAUCUUGCGCAAUGCGCGAAAGCGUGACGCAGCAACGCCGCGUGGGGGAAGAAGGCGUUUCGGUUGUAAACCCUUUCAGUUGGGACGAGCUUCGCCGGUGAAUAGCCGGCCGGAGUGACGGUACCUUCACAAGAAGCACCGGCUAACUACGUGCCAGCAGCCG
RNAcentral lists this ribosomal RNA (490 nucleotides) under uncultured bacterium. RNAcentral describes it as "SSU rRNA". It matches the Rfam family "Bacterial small subunit ribosomal RNA", at positions 26 to 517 of the family's 1533-position model. The record is from RNAcentral.